Molecule: ribosomal RNA, 441 nt
Filed under: uncultured bacterium
Lineage: Bacteria
Description: bacterial SSU rRNA
Rfam family: Bacterial small subunit ribosomal RNA
Source: RNAcentral
GGAAUUGUUCGCAAUGGGCGCAAGCCUGACGACGCACCGCCGCGUGGAGGAUGAAGGUCUUCGGAUUGUAAACUCCUGUUGCCCGGGACGAAAAGCUUCAGCUUAAUACGUUGAAGUCUGACGGUACCGGGUGAGGAAGCACCGGCUACCUCCGUGCCAGCAGCCGCCGUAAUACGGAGGGUGCGAGCGUUGUCCGGAAUCAUUGGGCGUAAAGGGCGCGUAGGUGGCCCGGUCAGUCUGUGGUGAAAGCGCGGGGCUCAACCCUGCGUCGGCCAGGGAUACUGCCGCGGCUGGAGCACUGUAGAGGCAGGCGGAAUUCCGGGUGUAGCGGUGGAAUGCGUAGAGAUCCGGAAGAACACCGGUGGCGAAGGCGGCCUGCUGGGCAGUGGGGUGAAGACCCCUUCAAGCUGACACUGAGGCGCGACAGCGUGGGGAGCAAAC